AAUAGAUAUUCAAUUUUGAGUAGGUAUUACUCAGAGUUAAGUGACGAUAGCCUAGGAGAUACACCUGUACCCAUGCCGAACACAGAAGUUAAGCCCUAGAACGCCGGAAGUAGUUGGGGGUUGCCCCCUGUGAGAUAGGGAAGUCGCUUAGCUUUAAUCCGCCAUAGCUCAGUUGGUAGUAGCGCAUGACUGUUAAUCAUGAUGUCGUAGGUUCGAGUCCUACUGGCGGAGUAAUUGAGUUAAGAGGUUUAGACCUCUUUUUUGUUAUGUAAUAAUAAUCUAUUUUGUGUUAUAGUAAAAUGAACCAAAAAUAGUACACAAUGUGGUAUAAUCUUUUUAUGGCAUAUUCAAUAGAUUUUCGUAAAAAAGUUCUCUCUUAUUGUGAGCGAACAGGUAGUAUAACAGAAGCAUCACACGUUUUCCAAAUCUCACGUAAUACUAUUUAUGGCUGGUUAAAGCUAAAAGAGAAGACAGGAGAGCUAAACCACCAAGUAAAAGGAACAAAACCAAGAAAAGUUGAUAGAGAUAGACUUAAAAACUAUCUUACUGACAAUCCAGACGCUUAUUUGACUGAAAUAGCUUCUGAAUUUGGCUGUCAUCCAACUACCAUCCACUAUGCGCUCAAAGCUAUGGGCUACACUCGAAAAAAAAGAACCACACCUACUAUGAACAAGANCACGUGAAAUCCCGUCGGAAUCUGGGAGGACCAUCUCCCAACCCUAAAUACUCCCUAGUGACCGAUAGUGAACCAGUACCGUGAGGGAAAGGUGAAAAGCACCCCGGGAGGGGAGUGAAAUAGAACCUGAAACCGUGUGCCUACAACAAGUUCGAGCCCGUUAAUGGGUGAGAGCGUGCCUUUUGUAGAAUGAACCGGCGAGUUACGUUAUGAUGCGAGGUUAAGUUGAAGAGACGGAGCCGUAGGGAAACCGAGUCUGAAUAGGGCGCCUUAGUAUCAUGACGUAGACCCGAAACCAUGUGACCUACCCAUGAGCAGGUUGAAGGUGCGGUAAGACGCACUGGAGGACCGAACCAGGGCACGUUGAAAAGUGCUUGGAUGACUUGUGGGUAGCGGAGAAAUUCCAAACGAACUUGGAGAUAGCUGGUUCUCUCCGAAAUAGCUUUAGGGCUAGCGUCGACAUUAGAGAUUCUUGGAGGUAGAGCACUGUUUGGGUGAGGGGUCCAUCCCGGAUUACCAAUCUCAGAUAAACUCCGAAUGCCAAUGAAUUAUGGUCGGCAGUCAGACUGCGAGUGCUAAGAUCCGUAGUCGAAAGGGAAACAGCCCAGACCACCAGCUAAGGUCCCAAAAUAAUUGUUAAGUGGAAAAGGAUGUGGGGUUGCACAGACAACUAGGAUGUUAGCUUAGAAGCAGCUAUUCAUUCAAAGAGUGCGUAAUAGCUCACUAGUCGAGUGACCCUGCGCCGAAAAUGUACCGGGGCUAAAACAAUUUACCGAAGCUGUGGAUACCUUUAUAGGUAUGGUAGGAGAGCGUUCUAUGUGUGAUGAAGGUAUACCGUGAGGAGUGCUGGAACGCAUAGAAGUGAGAAUGCCGGUAUGAGUAGCGAAAGACAGGUGAGAAUCCUGUCCACCGUAAGACUAAGGUUUCCAGGGGAAGGCUCGUCCGCCCUGGGUUAGUCGGGACCUAAGGAGAGACCGAAAGGUGUAUCCGAUGGACAACAGGUUGAUAUUCCUGUACUAGAGUAUGUAGUGAUGGAGGGACGCAGUAGGCUAACUAAAGCAGACGAUUGGAAGAGUCUGUCUAAGCAGUGAGGUGUGAAUUGAGUCAAAUGCUUAAUUCUAUAACAUUGAGCUGUGAUGGGGAGCGAAGUUUAGUAGCGAAGUUAGUGACGUCACACUGCCAAGAAAAGCUUCUAGCGUUUAAACAUACUCUACCCGUACCGCAAACCGACACAGGUAGUCGAGGCGAGUAGCCUCAGGUGAGCGAGAGAACUCUCGUUAAGGAACUCGGCAAAAUGACCCCGUAACUUCGGGAGAAGGGGUGCUGACUUUAAGUCAGCCGCAGUGAAUAGGCCCAAGCAACUGUUUAUCAAAAACACAGCUCUCUGCUAAAUCGUAAGAUGAUGUAUAGGGGGUGACGCCUGCCCGGUGCUGGAAGGUUAAGAGGAGUGCUUAGCGUAAGCGAAGGUAUGAAUUGAAGCCCCAGUAAACGGCGGCCGUAACUAUAACGGUCCUAAGGUAGCGAAAUUCCUUGUCGGGUAAGUUCCGACCCGCACGAAAGGCGUAAUGAUUUGGGCACUGUCUCAACGAGAGACUCGGUGAAAUUUUAGUACCUGUGAAGAUGCAGGUUACCCGCGACAGGACGGAAAGACCCCAUGGAGCUUUACUGCAGUUUGAUAUUGAGUGUCUGUACCACAUGUACAGGAUAGGUAGGAGUCUAAGAGAUCGGGACGCCAGUUUCGAAGGAGACGCUGUUGGGAUACUACCCUUGUGUUAUGGCCACUCUAACCCAGAUAGGUGAUCCCUAUCGGAGACAGUGUCUGACGGGCAGUUUGACUGGGGCGGUCGCCUCCUAAAAGGUAACGGAGGCGCCCAAAGGUUCCCUCAGAAUGGUUGGAAAUCAUUCGCAGAGUGUAAAGGUAUAAGGGAGCUUGACUGCGAGAGCUACAACUCGAGCAGGGACGAAAGUCGGGCUUAGUGAUCCGGUGGUUCCGUAUGGAAGGGCCAUCGCUCAACGGAUAAAAGCUACCCUGGGGAUAACAGGCUUAUCUCCCCCAAGAGUUCACAUCGACGGGGAGGUUUGGCACCUCGAUGUCGGCUCGUCGCAUCCUGGGGCUGUAGUCGGUCCCAAGGGUUGGGCUGUUCGCCCAUUAAAGCGGCACGCGAGCUGGGUUCAGAACGUCGUGAGACAGUUCGGUCCCUAUCCGUCGCGGGCGUAGGAAAUUUGAGAGGAUCUGCUCCUAGUACGAGAGGACCAGAGUGGACUUACCGCUGGUGUACCAGUUGUCUUGCCAAAGGCAUCGCUGGGUAGCUAUGUAGGGAAGGGAUAAACGCUGAAAGCAUCUAAGUGUGAAACCCACCUCAAGAUGAGAUUUCCCAUGAUUAUAUAUCAGUAAGAGCCCUGAGAGAUGAUCAGGUAGAUAGGUUAGAAGUGGAAGUGUGGCGACACAUGUAGCGGACUAAUACUAAUAGCUCGAGGACUUAUCCAA
Molecule: ribosomal RNA, 3164 nt
Filed under: Streptococcus pneumoniae
Lineage: Bacteria; Bacillati; Bacillota; Bacilli; Lactobacillales; Streptococcaceae
Source: RNAcentral